GAUAGUGGCGAACGGGUGAGUAACACGUGGGCAAUCUGCCCUGCACUCUGGGACAAGCCCUGGAAACGGGGUCUAAUACCGGAUACUGAUCCUCGCGGGCAUCUGCGAGGUUCGAAAGCUCCGGCGGUGCAGGAUGAGCCCGCGGCCUAUCAGCUUGUUGGUGAGGUAAUGGCUCACCAAGGCGACGACGGGUAGCCGGCCUGAGAGGGCGACCGGCCACACUGGGACUGAGACACGGCCCAGACUCCUACGGGAGGCAGCAGUGGGGAAUAUUGCACAAUGGGCGAAAGCCUGAUGCAGCGACGCCGCGUGAGGGAUGACGGCCUUCGGGUUGUAAACCUCUUUCAGCAGGGAAGAAGCGAAAGUGACGGUACCUGCAGAAGAAGCGCCGGCUAACUACGUGCCAGCAGCCGCGGUAAUACGUAGGGCGCAAGCGUUGUCCGGAAUUAUUGGGCGUAAAGAGCUCGUAGGCGGCUUGUCACGUCGGUUGUGAAAGCCCGGGGCUUAACCCCGGGUCUGCAGUCGAUACGGGCAGGCUAGAGUUCGGUAGGGGAGAUCGGAAUUCCUGGUGUAGCGGUGAAAUGCGCAGAUAUCAGGAGGAACACCGGUGGCGAAGGCGGAUCUCUGGGCCGAUACUGACGCUGAGGAGCGAAAGCGUGGGGAGCGAACAGGAUUAGAUACCCUGGUAGUCCACGCCGUAAACGGUGGGCACUAUGUGUGGGCAACAUUCCACGUUGUCCGUGCCGCAGCUAACGCAUUAAGUGCCCCGCCUGGGGAGUACGGCCGCAAGGCUAAAACUCAAAGGAAUUGACGGGGCC
This 818-nucleotide ribosomal RNA is filed under the name Streptomyces sp. RNAcentral describes it as "bacterial SSU rRNA". It matches the Rfam family "Bacterial small subunit ribosomal RNA", at positions 91 to 920 of the family's 1533-position model. The record is from RNAcentral. Lineage: Bacteria; Bacillati; Actinomycetota; Actinomycetes; Kitasatosporales; Streptomycetaceae.